AAUAAGACUCUCGGCAACGGAUAUCUCGGCUCUCGCAUCGAUGAAGAACGUAGCGAAAUGCGAUACGUGGUGUGAAUUGCAGAAUCCCGCGAACCAUCGAGUCUUUGAACGCAAGUUGCGCCCGAGGGACCUACCCGAGGGCACGCCUGCCUCAUGGGCGUUAGAA
Molecule: ribosomal RNA, 166 nt
Filed under: Calyptrocarya sp. K 11301
Lineage: Eukaryota; Viridiplantae; Streptophyta; Magnoliopsida; Poales; Cyperaceae
Description: 5.8S ribosomal RNA
Rfam family: 5.8S ribosomal RNA
About the family: 5.8S ribosomal RNA (5.8S rRNA) is a component of the large subunit of the eukaryotic ribosome. It is transcribed by RNA polymerase I as part of the 45S precursor that also contains 18S and 28S rRNA.
Source: RNAcentral